Molecule: ribosomal RNA, 777 nt
Filed under: uncultured Neocallimastigales
Lineage: Eukaryota; Fungi; Neocallimastigomycota; Neocallimastigomycetes; Neocallimastigales
Description: partial large subunit ribosomal RNA
Rfam family: Eukaryotic large subunit ribosomal RNA
Source: RNAcentral
AGAGAGAGACAUGCGCGCAUAUCAAUAAGCGGAGGAAAAGAAACUAACAAGGAUUCCCCUAGUAACGGCGAGUGAAGCGGGAAGAGCUCAAAUUUGAAAUCUUAAAGGGUUUCCCUUUACGAAUUGUAGUUUAAAGAAGUGUUUUCUGUUGAGGUUUUGGUAAAAGUUCUUUGGAAUAGGACAUCAUAGAGGGUGAGAAUCCCGUAUUUGACCUUUACUUUCAACUUUGUGAUACACUUUCAAAGAGAUCGGAUUGUUUGGGAAUGCAGUCCAAAAUGGGUGGUAAAUUUCAUCUAAAGCUAAAUAUUGGCGAGAGACCGAUAGCGAACAAGUACCGUGAGGGAAAGAUGAAAAGAACUUUGAAAAGAGAGUUAAACAGUACGUGAAAUUGUCAAAAGGGAAGCGUUUGACACCAGUGUUGUUUUUCUGAAAAUCAAUUAAAGAACUGUUUAUGCUAAGCUGUUUAGACUUUAUCAGCUAUACUGUUUAGUUUUGAGCUUUUCUUUAAUGCACUUUUCAGUUAACAAGUCAACAUCAAUUUCUUUUGCUGUAAAAAAGCUUGAGGAAGGUGGCUUGAGAUUCGUCUUAAGUGUUUAUAGCCUCUUGCCUAUGCAGUCGGAGAGAUUGAGGUCUGCAGCGUAGGAUCCUUCGGGGCUAAAUGCAUUUGUGCUAAGUUAUAGCAUUUUAUAGACAACUUGUUGACUAUGAUUUGUCUUGUAGCUUACUCGCUUAUGUUAUUUUACCUACGCUUAGGAUGUUGACGCAUGAGAUAUACGC